This 262-nucleotide ribosomal RNA is filed under the name uncultured bacterium. RNAcentral describes it as "partial 16S ribosomal RNA". It matches the Rfam family "Bacterial small subunit ribosomal RNA", at positions 338 to 597 of the family's 1533-position model. The record is from RNAcentral.
CCUACGGGGGGCAGCAGUGAGGAAUAUUGGGCAAUGGUCGGGAGACUGAACCAGCCAAGCCGCGUGAGGGAUGAAGGUACAGAGUAUCGUAAACCUCUUUUGUCAGGGAACAAAGGCGGGGACGUGUCCCCGGAUGAGUGUAACUGAAGAAAAAGCAUCGGCUAACUCCGUGCCAGCAGCCGCGGUAAUACGGAGGCUGCGAGCGUUAUCCGGAUUUAUUGGGGUUAAAGGGUGCGCAGGAGGUCUGUUAAGUCAGCGGUCA